UGGUGGCGGUGGUGGUGGAGGUGAAGGACCGUAAACGUGAGGUGGCGGUGGUGGGUGAGGAGCAUAUGGGUCUGCUACUGGUGGUGGUGGUGGUGGAGGACUUGGACCUGGACCUGGACGGUGGUGUCUAUGAAAUGCCAUGUUUUUGAAAGUUAGGUGAUCAAUACAAAGUGUUGUGCUGUUGUUUUUGUUUUAAGGGAUUUGGAGUUGUUCGUAUGUACACUAGAAACAUGUAUUUCCUUUGACGGUUUGUUGGAUGACGUGCAGAUGUUUGUGCCUCGGCUUCCUCAGCCAAUCAGAAUUUUAUUUUUGUCAAAAUUCGUUUCGUCUCCUCAUAUACUCCGUUUCAAGAGUGCAUAAUAUUUUAUUGACUAUUAUUAUUAUUAUUAUUAUUAUUAUUAUUAUUAUUAUUAUUAUUAUUAUUAUUAUUAUUAUUAUUAUUAUUAUUAUUAUUAUUAUUAUUAUUAUUAUUAUUAUUAUUGGUUUUGACUAUUUUAUGAUGUUUAGACUUUAGACUACAAGAUAUGAUGUCAAAAAUAGACCCAUGUAUAAUAAUAUUAUGUUGUUAUCUUUCAUUUUGAUAACAAAAUCUCUUCGUAUCAUCGCAGAUUAUUCAUUUUCAUUUUACGAAAAGUAAAAAAAAAAAGCAUGGUUGUAAAGAAACUGCACCAUUAAUUAAAUCGUGAAAAUAUUAUUAAUCAUUACUAUAUGAUUUUCUAACUUUCUAAUACCAGUAACCAUAUUAUAAUAUACUAACACACUUUUUUUUCAAUUACACCAAAUUAUUAUUAUUAUUAUUUUCAUAAUAAAUUGAAGCUGUAAUAAUAUUUUUAGCACCAUUCCAAUUUAUUCAAUAAAUAUAUAAUUUAUUAUUUUAUAAAAUAGGCGGCCUCUAACUCUAGUUGAAAAAAAAAGGAAAAAAAAUUGAAUCGAGAACAUGUUUGAGAAUACAACAAAAAUUAUACCAUUCAAAGAAAAAUUAUAAAACCUAAGGGGUAUUAACAAAAAUUCCUUGGACUAGGCCAGGCAAUGUCUGCCACUGGUGGAAAGUAGAUAUUUAUUUGCAUUUGUGGUUGUAAUCGAAAAUGGUAGGGAUAGUGAAUCUUUUAGGUGUAUUUCUUACGGGUGUCGUAAUUUUGACAUCGACUAAAACUUGUUUAAAUUUUGACAUUUUUAUUAGUGCAUUGAAUGUAACGUGUUGCUAUUACGAUGUAGGGAUGGCAAUAGGGAGGGGAGGGGAGGGGACCAAUCUCCCUAUACCCAUUCCUGAUAUUUUGUUAUGUCCCCGUUCCCUCCGCGUCCCCGUCAGAAUUGCUUAAGAGAAUCUUUAUCCCCUCUCUGAAUAAUAACAGGGGAUCCCCGAGGGUCCCCGGUCCCCGAAUAACUAAUAGUCUAAUACAUUUUUUUUUAUUUUUUUUUAAAUUAAUCAUAUUAAAAUAAAAAAUUCAGAUAAAAAUAAAGUUUAAAAUAUAUCUUGCAUUAAUAUUGAUCCAUUACAAAGUCACAUUCAAAAUAUAAAUUAUUAAAAUAAUUAUCUUUGUCAAUGACUCAAUCUUCAUAAUCCUACAAUAAAAAGAAAAAAAAUUAUUUUUAUAUCGGUAAUAAAAUAAAUAAAAUAAAUGUAGAUACUUAAUUAAUAUUUUUAAUAAAACUAUUUACCUCCUGCUCCUCCUGUUCUUCCUCGAGAAAUGUGGCAAAUUGAGAGCUAGUCUCAGAUUUCAAACCUAAAACAAUGAAAAUGAUAUAAGUAACGUAACUUAUAAGUGCAAAUAUUAAUUACUGUAUAAUAUAAUUACAAUGUAAAAUAAACUCAUACUGCUAUUGUAAGCUCGUAACCAACUUUGACAGCACAUUAAGGCCUCCAAUGUGUUUGGAUGAAGUUUGUUACGGUGUGCACUCACAACUCUACCACCGGUGCUAAAAGCUGAUUCAGAAGCAACUGUUGUAAUUGGAAUUGCCAAAAUAUCUCUAGCAAUUCGAGCUAAUGUAGGAUUCGAAUUAGGAUUAGAACUGUUGUAAAUUAUAAUUAGGCAGCUCUCUCCUGUAUCAUUGUGGUUUAGAUUAAAAAUUUAAGACUUUAAUUAGUUAAUUAAGUUUAAAAGUUUAAUAAUAUAACUAUUUUAAUAUUUAUUAUUUUUAACAAUAUUUAUAAUUUUGUUAUUUAUUUAUUAGUAAUUUUAAAAAUAAAAAUAAAAUUAAAAAUUAAAAUGGGGAAAUGGGUAGGGGAUGGGGAUUCCACCUCAUCCCCGUCCCCUCCCCGAAUAAAAAAUUGGGUAAAAAUUUUUCCCGUCCUCUCCCCGAAUAAAAAAUUGGGUAUAAAAUUAUCCCCGUACCCCCCCCCCCCCCGAAUGAGGAAAAUCCCCGAGGGUACCCGUCCCCGUGGGAAUUUUUGUCAUCCCUAUUACGAUGUCACGAAGUCAAGACUCUGUCCUGCUUUCUGCUUCGGCGUUUGUGAUUUGGCUUUGCCAACACCUUCUUCCCUUUCUAAUAUUGUAUUUCCUCCUAUGGUAGGGUGAAUAUUUACUAAUGCUGCAGUGCACACGUCACGAGAACUGGGCUUUCGGUUUGCACAGAUCGAACCCUGGGCUCUUGUUAAGUUUUAGCGCCCCCCCCCCCCCCCCCCAAUACCCAAAUACCAUCCAAACGGAUAAAUAACAACAAUGGAAAAUUCUCAUAGCACCUCUUUUAAAUUUUAUUUUUUUUUCCUAAAAAAUGAUGCUAUAAAAAAAAAACCAUAAUUUUUACUCUUCGAACCUAUCUUUAUAUUCAACGUAAUUUUAUUAAAUCCUAAAUAUAUUCUCAAGCAAUGGAUUUUUGUAAUCAUGUUUGUUCUUUUGCUGGAAUUUAAAUUGCAAUGGCAGCUAGGGGUGGGCAAUUUAUUCGACCUGAUCCAAUCCGAUUAAAAAAAAAUCAAGUUAGGAUCGGAUCAGAUGGAAGAUAAUAUCCGAACGGGUUGGCUAAAAAAAAAAACACACGCAAGACACUCAAACACCACCCACUCAUUCACACAGUCACACCACUCUCAGCCCACUCAAACUCAAACCUACAACAAUGAGCAGCCUACAGCCAACACUCUCGUCUCUCUCAACUCAACUUCACUACUUCAGUUCUCAUCUCGCUCUCGUCUCUCUCUCAAGUCUCAACUCUCGAGAUUCAAGAAAGAAAAUAGAAUUGUGACAAACACACUCUAAAAUAUUUUGCAAAGAAAUAUCAAAUGGAUGAAAAGAUAUAAAUGAAGGAUUCCUAAACCAACAGAAGUGGCAGUGCCUUUCUUUAAGCGCAUUCUCAAUCUUGCACGAGUGACUGAUGUUACUUACAAGGAUGAUAAUGGCUACACCAAUUCUUAUGUGAUCAAAGACUAUAUCACCCACUGCUUGAGAAGCCUGUUCUCUUUUGAGUAGUUUUUGCGAUGCAGAUUACAUCCUAUAUAAACUAUUAAUGUUGUUUUUGGAAUAAGCUCUGAAAUUUGUUCCUCAGAGAGCUUUUUUGCUGCUGUCAUCACAAUUAUCAAAUUCUUCCGUACAAUUAGUAAAGGCUUCCCUGUUUAUAUAUAUAUAAAUAAAAGAAAUCACCCAACAUAGUGUUGUUUAACUGAAAAAGGAAAUUCAAGCAUCCAAAAUCAAAAUAUCCAAAAUGAAAAUAAGGUACCUAAUACUUGAAAGAAAGGGAUAUUCAAUACCCGUUUCAAAUCGUGCAUAAUCAUCUAGCAUGGCUCUCAUUGUCCCUCUGCAGCGCCGACUUUUUCCAUUAUUUUCUGCCCUUCUUCACCUUCGUCAUGAACCGAUCAAGACCGAAUGGAUCAGCUUCUUCAGCCUCCUUCUCAAACUUAACCGGUCCGUCCCUCGUACCAGACCUCUCAGAUGUACCUGCAAAUGCCUUGUCGGGUUUAAACCGAUCAGUCUUUCUAAUCUUCUCCAACUGCUCAUCCGCAUUUGCUCCAUAAAUUUCAGCAUCAGCAUCUUUUUUGGGCCUGUAAAGGGUUGAAAGAGUCGGCUGUGCUGUAAACAAGCCUUUGUCAUACACAUUAUACUGAUCACCGUCAGUGGCAAAACCAGAGUCCAUUCCUUUCUUCUGAUUAAAAAGCCUUGCGUCAUGAGUAACCUCACCCGCUCUGCCUCCGCCACCAAAAGAGGCCAUCCCAAGGGCAACUUUCUCGCUAACAUCCCGAUCUCUGUCUCUAACAACCUUACUAUUCUUCUUCCCCAUAGCAACAUCCUUGGCCAGCAAAUUUCUCUCCCUCUUCCUCUCGCGACGUCUCUCCUCACGAAUUCUCUCCCUCUCCCUUUCCCUCUCCCUCAGCAAUCCCUGCUCGCUUUCCUUCAAUGUCUCCAUUGCCUUACGUGCUAAAUCCCGUAGCUGCUGCUCUUUCCUUUCCUUCUCCUUCGUGAGCAUCUCCAUCUGCACCUUGAAUCUUAUUUCAAUUGCCUCCCUCGCCUUCUGCUCUGCCAAAUAAAGAGCCUCCGACAAUUUAGCAAAUCCCUCAUUUACCUGAACCUCCAGAAGCCCUCUUCCUUCGGCAGCGAGCUGCUUAUCCAGCGGAAUUGUAAACCGCUGUGGGUUCUUCCAAUUUGAUAUACAUGGUGGGAUUCUCCAAUCCAGCUGAUCUUUCACAGUCAUAGGCCUAGGAGGGGAAUGCAUGACCGGUACUGGCGGAGAUCCCGAAGCUUUCGGCACACGCUUGUGCUUCAACUUUGGUGGCUCAAGUGGGUCCAAAGGCAUCGCCACCACUCUCAAAAUCCUCCUUUUUAGGGAUGGCAAUGAAUUGGAUUUGAUCCAAGAUCCAUGUAAUUCAAAUCCAAUCGGAUCGGAUUUGGAUCGGUUUAAAAUAGAUUUGGAUCAGAUGUGCGGAUUUAAGACGAAUCUGGAGUAGAUAUGGAUCUAUCGUAAUAUUUAAAUCCAUAUUCAUAUCCACUCAUCUUUUAAUUUUAUUUUAUUUUAAAAGUUUCUUAAUAAUUGUGGAAUGAUAAUAUGAUAAUAAAUUUUAUUCAUAGCAUAUAUAGUAGUAUUUACCAUGUAUUUAAACUCUUUUUUUUUUUUAGAAGAAUGUAUUUAAACUCUUAAAACUUAAAGGUUAGUUUUGUAAAUUUAAAGGUCAGCCAGCCUCAAAGCAUGUACAUGCAAUAUUCAAAUUGCAAUCCAAGUAAUAUAACCUGGUAAUUUAUUUUAUCAUAUUGGCCAAAUAAUUUUUAAGGAAUAUAGUUAUUCAUAUAUUUAGUCAAAUAUGGUCAUAAUAAAAAUAAUAAAGGACUGAAUAUAAAUCAUAUUUAAUUUAUAUGUCAUUAUUUAAUGUUGUAGGAAUGAGGGUAGGUGUAUCGUGGAUAUUAGAAUGAUGAAGGAGACAAUAGAAUAUUAGAUUGAUCUUACUCCUGCAAUUACUUCUAAAUGAUAUUUUAUUAUCUUUCUUAUUUGUUGUUUUGGUAUAAAAGUAUAAGCUACAAUAUUUAUUAUAUUUUUUAGAAAAAUUAUAUAAUUUAUUUGUUAUCAAUACAUUUUAGCCUUCAAUUUUCAAUCUAAAAAAUUAUUACUUUUUUAUUACGGAAUUUUAGAAUUCAUGAUGGAUCUAGAGCAGAUUUGGAUUUUAAUUUUUUUUCAGAUUUGGAGCGGAUAUAGAUAUUUAUUUCUUUUUUGGAUCUGGAUAUGGAGCGAAAAAUAUGGAUUCAUAACAGAUCUGGAGCAGAUAUGGAUCUUGAUUUUUAUUAUGGAUUUGGAUCUGGAACAAAUACGGAUCUUAAUUUUUAUUAUAGAUUUGGAUCUGGAGCAAAAUAAAUCCAACACAUAUCUACCUCAUUGCCAUCCCUACUCCUUUUAGCCCCAGAAUAGAAGUCCACCGAUUGUUGUGAUGGUCUGUACAUAAUAAAUUUGGACUCUAAUGACUGCGUAGGUGCAGCAUUCACAACACUGUUAACAAUCUUUUCAAGUUCAGCUUUUGUUACAGGAGUAGUCACGUCAAUCUCAUCUUCUUGAUCAGGAAAAGCGCUACCAUCAUCAUCAUCGAAAUCCUCAAGUUUCCGUGGAAGUAUCACCAUGUUACAAAGAUUUCUUGCUUGUCAAUCAAGCCUGUGAUUAGUCCCAAGCAAUUUAAGGGUUCCUCAAGGGCUGAAAAAGAAUCUUGUGUUUUUUGUUAUCGUACACAACCAGCAAAUUUCUCUCCCAGUAGCGGCGACUCUGUUUUAAGAUUUGCUAAUGCUAUGCUAGUUUGCUAACUUGUAGCGGAGGUAAUCUCACUAAUGCUAAAACUAGAUAUCCUGAUGUAAAAACUUUAAACACAAAAAAAGUGCUCGUUUUGAAAAAUUAUUUGAGAUUACAACCUUAUUUAUUAGUUUUAAUUAUUACUCAAAAAAGCUAUUACAAUAAUUGAAAUCCUAGUCAAAACUAAAAUAAUAAUAAAAACUAAUUAAUAUGGCAACAGAUAAGACAAAUCCUAAACAAAUUAGAAAUACCAAUUAAAAAGAGGAAAAUUUCGGAUUAGAACAAAAAGAAAGGGCAAUAAUCUUUAUCCGUAUCCGUAGAAAAUAAGGAAAAUUUUUUAUGUAGAUAAUAAAGACUUGCCCACGGUAGUGUCCUAAGAAAGUAAGGAAAACCAAUCUAUAUAAAGAGACUUGCCUGUGCUUGUCGAAAAGCAUUAUACCUUCUUCUUUUAAUUAGCCUGCUAGCUAGCUCCUUAGUAAUCAGUCCCAAAUUUUCAGCUUUCUUAACUUCUUCUCCGUUACCUUAUUCAUCAUCUUCAUUAAAACAAGAAAACAGGAGAAAAAAAAUGCCUGGUGUUUCAAGAAUUGAUAAGGGUAAUGGCAGAGUGUACCCUGGAUACCUUACCCCAUUCGUCGCAAUCACAUGUAUCGUUGCUGCCAUGGGUGGCCUCAUCUUUGGUUACGACAUUGGGAUUUCUGGUAAAUAUAUUUAUACUUACAUACAUAUUAACUAGCUAAUUAAGUACUGUAGUAUUGUGAAUUAUGAGUUAUGCUGACGGUUUAAUCAAAAUAUUAACCUAGCUAACUGCAUAAAUAAUAUAACGCAGGUGGUGUGACCUCAAUGCCUUCGUUUUUGAAGAGUUUUUCCCAUCGGUGUACGAGAAGCAACAAGUAAACUCGUCAGCGAAUCAGUACUGUCAAUAUAACAGCGAGUCGUUGACUUUGUUCACGUCUUCGCUAUACUUGGCUGCUUUGAUAGCAUCGCUUGUAGCAUCAUCGGUGACAAGGAAAUUCGGAAGAAAGUGGUCCAUGUUAUUCGGUGGGGUUCUGUUUCUUGCUGGUACAUUAAUCAAUGGCUUGGCCCAAGACGUUUGGAUGCUUAUUGUUGGCCGUCUUUUGCUCGGUUUCGGUAUCGGCUUCGCUAAUCAGUCUGUGCCACUCUACCUCUCUGAGAUGGCCCUCUAAAUACAGAGGAGCCUUGAACAUUGGGUUUCAAUUGUCAAUCACCGUUGGAAUUUUAGUGGCCAACCUGUUGAAUUUUUUCUUUGCUAAGAUUAAGGGUGGCUGGGGAUGGCGUUUGAGCUUAGGUGGUGCCAUGGUCCCUGCCCUUAUCAUCACCGUCGGUUCAGUUUUCCUCCCGGACACACCAAAUUCAAUGAUUGAACGCGGCCAGCACGAUGAAGCCAGAAAGCAACUUAGAAAAGUUCGCGGUGUUAAUGAUGUUGACGGAGAAUUUAAUGAUCUUGUUGCAGCCAGUGAAGCAUCCAAGCAAGUUGAACAUCCUUGGAGGAAUUUGUUGAGAAGGAAAUAUAGGCCUCACCUUACCAUGGCUGUUCUGAUUCCCUUCUUCCAGUAAUUCACUGGCAUUAAUGUUAUCAUGUUUUACGCUCCUAUUUUGUUCGACACAAUUGGUUUCGGCAAUGAUGCAUCACUCAUGUCCGCUGUGAUCACCGGUCUUGUCAAUGUUUCCGCAACAUUCGUAUCAAUUUGUACUGUCGACAAGUGGGGAAGAAGACGUCUUUUCCUUGAAGGUGGUGCUCAAAUGUUAAUCUGCCAGGCCGUUGUUGCUGCUUGCAUCGGUUAUAAAUUUGGAGUUGAUGGGAAUCCUGGAGAGUUGCCUGUUGAUGCUUAAAUCUGCUCGCCUUUAGACCGACCAGAUUCUUUCACCAACGUUUGUGUUAUCUACUGUUGCUCGUUCACUGGGAUUGGAAUCGUCCUUCUUUCUCACAAUAGACCUGCGCUCACCAAAAACGGAUCAGAGACGCCGGUGGUUUUGCCGGCGUAAACCCUCCGAUGCUUAAGUUAGCUCAAGGUGUUUACGGGAAAACAGUGCAAUUUAGAUCUCAAAAUGGUUUCUAAAUUAUUCGGAGUUUAUAAGAAAAUAGCCUGAUUUCAAUUUGGCAGCGUUUCCCCUCUCUCAAUUUUUCCAUCCCCUUCUUCAUCGAUUUCUUCUUCUUUUAUAGCCGAUGUCCCCACGUUCCCGCUUGCCCUUCAUCCCACCUUUUUUGGGUAGUGGUAGCCUCUCAUGGGGCUCUAACUGCUGCAUUAUGGGCAAACGUGGGAUCUCGCGUCUCCCGCAACGGUUCUGGGAAAGCACAACUACCGUGAUUCUGUGAGAUCGUGUUUCCGCUUUUCGGGGGACGGGUACCGGCUCGGUAUGUGGCUCUGGUCAGUAUUCGUCUCUGAUCGACUCAUGUUACCCCUGUUCUGCUCGUACCAUUUGGCUGAGGUGAUUCAUGCCGGGGUGGAAGUAGUAUCCUGGCCGACCUGGUGCUUUUAUUUGCUUAACACCAGUCCCCCAGUUUCUGGUCUUGUGAGUGAAAUGAGUCAAGAGUAGAAACUGAUAGUCGACUCUUACCAAUCCGGGGGUUUCUCCUCUGGUCUUCUGUCUACCGGGACGAACCUGAGCAAUUCAUUUUUCUUCGGGUGAGAUUUUGAUCUGGGCGUGGGCCUAAAUGAGCAUGUCCACUGCGCACCUGGGCUUGCAUCUAGCCCGGCCUCUUGUAACGGUUGGUGACAUGGCAUCUCCCGAUUCUUCGCAUUUGAAAUUUGAAACGACGGGCUAUCUGUCCUCGAUGUACGGUGAGUGAGCUGGCGUCCCCAUCACUUAAAUGCUUCCAUUUCCCCCCUUUUCGUUUUAAAUCCCUAGACUGGAGUCUUCACCAUCUUGUUACUCGUUUCUCCACCGUUAACCAAAUUUUCUCUGGACUUUGCUCACACUUCCAGCGUCCGGAGUAUCCAUUUGCUGGGUGUUUUCUCUGUCGCGGCGGCUCUAUCAGUGUCAGUCUAUUCCAGGUAUAGCCUUUAACAUUUUCUUCGGCUGUUGUUGAUUGGGUUCUGUGUUGCCCCUUUGUGUCCAUAUACUCGAGUUUUCUCUGUCUUCUUUUGGGAUUCCGGUAUGUCAAAUCGGAAGAGGAAGUUAAUUGUUGAUGAGGGUGAUGACGAAUCAGGGGAUUCAGGCCUCAACGUGCCAAUACCCACCGAUUUUUUAGGUCCCUCCAGUAGUGUAGGUCCUCCUCAUGGUAGGGAUACCCUUGAGUACCCACGCCCCCUGGUUGUCUCUCCCUCUCCCGAAUUAAAGCUUGUAGGAAAUAGGGGUGGACCUGCGUCGGGCUCUGGUGAGAACCACAGCUUUGGUGGGGUUGGGAUCCCUGAAGGAGUUGGUGAUGGUAAGGGGAGCAGUUCCGGACCGAGCAGACCUGCUCAGAAAAGGAACCUAGGCCAUAGGGUGGAGGCUGAUUCCUACCCUAUUGAUUUCAUGGCUUGUGCCACCACCCCCACCGAUCUAUUUAAACUUAGGAAUCUCUACAACAUCCCCAACGAGGUUCUUCUUGUAGUUCCUGGAAAAGGUGAUGUCCCUAGUCGGCCUCCGAAAUGGUAUGUGACGAUGCACUUGGAGAGUUUCAGACUAGGAGCUCGGCUACCCCUUCAACCUUACUUUGCCAAGAUACUGGGCGGUAUGCACCUGGCCCCAGGUCAGCUAUACCCAAAUGGGUGGAGGGUUCUCUCGGCAAUGUUUGUGUUGUGGGAGAGGUGCGGGUCGGAGGAGCCUUCUCUUGUUGAAGUGAAACAUCUGUACCAGCUGCGGAGUAGCCCGAAGGAGGCAGGCUGGUACUAUUUCAUGUCCAGUUCCGCAAAGAGGAAACCGAUCACUGGGUUUCCAUCUUCAUGUAAAAAUUGGAAGAACAAAUUCUUCUUUGCUGGAGGGAACUGGUGUCCAGCGGUUCAGUCGCUUGGUGGGGACAUUUAUCUUCCCACCCAUUUUGUCACUCCAGGUCGUUCAUUUUUGCCUAUAUUCUUUCUCAAAUUGCCACUCAUUGGGUUCUUUAACCUUGUUUGUUUUUUCAGAAUCGUGGGGUUUGGUGAAGGAUCUUGAAGACCGACCUUUGCUUCAGGUGGAAACUGCUCUGUUGAACGCGUCUACUUGCCAAGACCUCCUGUCGCCAACAAACUUGGUCGGUUCCCGCUUAGUAGAUAUUGCCACUGGAAUGGAUAACAAGAUCCUCAGCGCGUUGAGCAGAAAGCGUGGUCGGGCUCCGAGUAGCUCCAGCAACCCUCCUCCUCCUCCAAAGAAACCCAUCGUCGGUCCUUCCAAGGCGCCAGUUCCUGCUCUGCCCCCUCCUCCACCUCGAAAGAGUGGUGGGGAUAAAACCUCCGACAAGAGUCCUGAGGUCAGCUUGCAGUCUGGGGACCGCUCUUCUCCUCUUCCAUCUCGGGAUCAAGGUGACUACCUGAGCCCAUAUCAGAAGGAUUACAGAAAAUCGGUUGGGCCCAAGAUGGUGAAGGACAUCGAGAGCAUGAGCCUCUCCGAGUUAGCUGUUUCUGUUCAAAGAGUCUCCUUCAGGCUGGCCACAAUGGUCUCGUGCUACAAGACCGGGUCCGCGCGUCAUGAGAGGAAGCUCCAAGCUGAUAACCAGGAGUUGAAAAAGAAAGUCGAAUCUGCUGACCGUUCCAAGGAGAAACUGGCCGAGCUGAACAAGCAGCUUACGGAGCUUGAGGAGAAAGUUGCUGUUGCUGAGUCCACUUCCUCCAAGCUUGAGGAUGAGUUGGGUGAUCUGAAGUCCGAUCUUCAGGCUACCCAAAGUGAAAGGGAUACUCUGAGGGUCGCCCUUGAAGGAGAGAUCAAAUCCCUGAAGGACCAGCUGGCUGAGGAGAAAAGCAAAUCAGCUGACGUGGAUGAUCGGCUGGAUGCCGAGUAUGACUCCGGGGUUGCUUUCAGCUAUAAGUGCAUCAUGUCUGUGCUUAAGGAAGAAUAUCACGAGCUCGACAUGAGCAAGCUGGAAUCUGGGGUGGAGAGGUAUAUGGCUGGGGCCGGCUAGGGAGAUAAGGAGCAGGUGGAGGUUCCUUUUGAUGAGGUGCGGGAGGAAGGAGCUGGUCAGUGUGUUUUUGAAGUGGGACAAGGGUACGCGCCUCCUCCUCCCGUUAUUGCUGAUCUUCCACCUCCCGAGAUAGCCGACGCUUCUCCUGCUGAGGCCGUUGACCUUCCUAAUCCUUAGGUCUAUUUUUGUAAAAAACUCUAGAUUGUUAUUCGCUUUGUAAACAUUUGAACAUUUAUAAAUUUUUAAAUGCUCUCAAUUGGCUUUCUUGUCUGGUUUUGCUCACGGGUUGCUUCUGCAAAACAACUUGGCAAUUUAUCUGAUUUUGCCUGUUGGUUUUUUAGUGCAUUGAGCAGGAAUAGGCAUCCGUUUGCCUUAGCGAAAUUUUCGCAAAAUUGCCUGCUGGUCUUCGAUGACCGAGCAGGAGCGGACACUUAUUUGCCUUAGUAGAAUUGUCGUAAAUUUAGCUGCUGUUUUUCGUUGACCGAGCAGAGGUAGGCACUUAGUCGAAUUUUCGUAGCUUUAGCUGCUGGUCUUUCGUUGACCGAGCAGAAGAAGGCACUGAUUUGCCUUUGUAGAAUUUCCGUAGCUUUAGCUGCUGGUCUUUCGUUGACCGAGUAGAAGUAGGCACUUGCCUUAAUCGAAUUUUCGUAGCUUUAGCUGCUGGUCUUUCAUUGACCGAGCAGAAGUAGGCACUGAUUUGCCUUUGUAGAAUUUCCGUAGCUUUAGCUGCUGGUCUUUCGUUGACCGAGCAGAAGUAGGCACUUGCCUUAGUCGAAUUUUCGUAGCUUUAGCUGCUGGUCUUUCGUUGACCGAGCAGAAAUAGGCACUUUGUUGCCUUAGUAGAAUUGUCGAAGCUUUAGCUGCUGGUCUUUCGGUGACCGAGCAGAAACAGGCACUUUAUUGCCUUAGUAGGAUUUUUUGCAGAAUUAGCUGCUGGUCUUUAGUGGACCGAGCAGAAGUUGGCACUUACUUGCCUUAGUAGAAUCUUCGUAGGUUUAGCUGCUGGUCUUUCGUUGACCGAGCAGAAGUAGGCACUUACUUGCCUUAGUAGAAACUUCGUAAAUUUAGCUGCUGGUCUUUCGUUGACCGAGCAGAAGUAGGCACUUGCCUAGGUAAAACUUUUAUUGAUUAGACUAGCAGGGGGAUUUCAUGCUGAAUUCAUCUUUAUUUGAAAUUUGAAAGCAUUACAAGAAUACUGGAUACAUACAUGUGCAGCAAAGCCAUGAUGCAGUUAACAUUGAUAUCUUGUCAAAAUGGAGAUUUAGUAGAGCACUUUGCUUACUGGAAAUACUUCUUCAAGUGUUCGGCGUUCCAUGACCUCUUCACUUCUCGUCCAUCUUGGUGUGCUAAUUUAUAGGCUCCUGGUCCAGUGGCUCGUAUCACCCGGUACGGGCCUUCCCACUUUGGGCCAAGAGCGCCAUGAUUAGGAUCCCUGGUGUUCUGGUUCACCUUCCUAAGUACCCAAUCUCCUGCUCGGAACUGCCUCACGCGCACGUUCUUGUUGUAAUAACGCAUGACCCUUUGUUGGCACUGGGCCACUUUCUGCACUGCCCCUUCCCUUUUCUCCUCCAGCAGGUCCAGACUUAAGCAAAUCUGCUCGUCAUUUUGCUCCUUAGUGAAAUAUUCCGUCCGAUGUGUUCUCACUCCAACCUCUGCUGGGAUUACCGCCUCAUGACCAAAGGCUAAAGCGAACAGUGUUUCUCCUGUGGUGGUUUUGUGAGUUGUCCUGUAGGCCCACAGUACUCCUGGUAGCUCGUCAACCUAAGCUCCCUUCUUCUCUCCCAAUCUAGUCUUUAGGAGCUUCUUUAUCACCUUGUUGGCUGCUUCCACUUGUCCGUUUGCCUGGGGGUGUGCGGGGGUGCAGAACUUCAGGUCCACCCCCAGGUUUCGGCAAAAUUCCCUGAAGUUGCCGUUGUCAAAUUGCCUCCCAUUGUCCGUGAUGAUGGCGUAGGGGAUCCCAUAUUUGCAGAUGAUAUUCUUCCAAAUAAAAUCUGUUGUCUUCCUCUCCGUGAUCUGGCUGAGGACUCCUACUUCCACCCACUUGGUGAAGUAGUCUAUUGCCACAAUUGCAUGUGUCGCCGCUCCUCGUCCCUUAGGCAAUGGACCAAUCAAGUCGAUUCCCCAUUGAGCGAAAGGCCAUGGGGAUGUCAUAGCCGUCAGCUUUUCCGGGGGUUGUGCAGGAACCUCGGAGAAGCUUUGGCAUGUUUUACAAUUCUUUGCCAUCCUUUUGGCAUCCUGGUGCAUGGUUGGCCAGAAGUAUCCUUGCCGGAGUGCCUUGAAGGCUAAAGUUCUUGCUCCCGAGCGAUUGCCGCAUAUUCCCUCGUGAAUCUCUCUCAGCACAUAAUCCGCCUCCUCAUCAUCCAAACAUCUCAAAAGGGGCAAGGUGAACCCUCGGCGGUACAGCACUCCAUCCAGUAGCGUAUACCUUGCUGCUCGGCAUUUUAAUUUUCUUGCUUGCCUUUUGUCCUAUGGUAAAACUCCAUCGCGGACAUAUGCGCGAAUCGGGUCCAUCCAGGAUUCUCCAGUACUUACUCUCAUCACCUCUGCUUCUUCCUCAAUACUUGGUGAGGUCCUUACCUCUAGUGGAACUGACUUCGGUAACUUUGGAUCUGCAAUGGCUGCCAUCCUAGCCAGCAUAUCUGCUCGGAAAUUCUCAUUCCGGGAUAUCUGCUUUACCUCCACUGCUUGGAAAAGCCCAACCAUCUGCUUCGCCUUCUUUAAAUAAAGACCCAUCUUCUCUCCCCUUGCUUGGAACUGAUCAUUGAGCUGAUUACACACCAGUUGGGAAUCUGCUCGAAUUUCUACCCUCUCUGCUCUUAGAGCGUGUGCAAGUCCGAGCCCGGUGAUAAAGGCCUCAUAUUCAGCUUGGUUGUUUGUGAGCUGAAAGUCAAACUUCACUGCAUACGUUAUUUCGGUUCCUUCUAGGCUCUGUAUUACAACUCCUGCUCCGGAUCCUUGCUCACUACAUGAUCCGUCAACCAUUACCAACCACAACCCCUCUGGUUUCUCCUGCUCUGCUGCUUGCUCCUCCCGAAUUUCUUUCCCUGUAUCGGCUCGGUCAACCAUAAAUUCAGCCAGAGCUUGGGCCUUGAUUGCUCCUCGGGGCCUGUAAGAGAGGUCGAAUUCACUUAGCUCUACGGACCAUUUUACUAGUCGACCCGAUGCAUCUGGUUUUUGAAGUGUUUGCCGAAGGGGCUGGUCGGUCAUAACAAUAACCUGAUGGGCCUGAAAAUAUGGUCGAAGUUUUCGUGCUGCCGUUAUUAGAGCUAGCGCCCACUUCUCCANNNNNNNNNNNNNNNNNNNNNNNNNNNNNNNNNNNNNNNNNNNNNNNNNNNNNNNNNNNNNNNNNNNNNNNNNNNNNNNNNNNNNNNNNNNNNNNNNNNNNNNNNNNNNNNNNNNNNNNNNNNNNNNNNNNNNNNNNNNNNNNNNNNNNNNNNNNNNNNNNNNNNNNNNNNNNNNNNNNNNNNNNNNNNNNNNNNNNNNNNNNNNNNNNNNNNNNNNNNNNNNNNNNNNNNNNNNNNNNNNNNNNNNNNNNNNNNNNNNNNNNNNNNNNNNNNNNNNNNNNNNNNNNNNNNNNNNNNNNNNNNNNNNNNNNNNNNNNNNNNNNNNNNNNNNNNNNNNNNNNNNNNNNNNNNNNNNNNNNNNNNNNNNNNNNNNNNNNNNNNNNNNNNNNNNNNNNNNNNNNNNNNNNNNNNNNNNNNNNNNNNNNNNNNNNNNNNNNNNNNNNNNNNNNNNNNNNNNNNNNNNNNNNNNNNNNNNNNNNNNNNNNNNNNNNNNNNNNNNNNNNNNNAGAUGCUUCACAUGAUCCGUCGUCUCUUUGGACUUUGUAAUCAUAUCAUCCACAUAUACCUCCAUAGUGUAUCCAAUCAACGGUUUGAAGAUCUUGUUUACCAACCUUUGAUAGGUGGCUCCUGCAUUUUUUAGGCCGAAAGGCAUUACCCUGUAACAAAACAAACCCAUGUUAGUUAUAAAGGCAGUGCUUUCCUCAUCCUGCUCGUCCAUGGGUAUCUGGUUGUAUCCAGAAAAGGCAUCCAUGAAACUGAGCAGACUGUGACCUGCUGUUGAGUCCACCAGCUGAUCUAUUUUGGGUAGGGGAAAACUGUCCUUUGGGCAUGCCUUAUUGAGGUCCGUGAAGUCCACACACAUUCUCCACUUCCCGUUGGCCUUUUUUACCAGGACUACAUUUGAAAUCCAUUCUGGGUACUUGGCUUCCCUUAUAAAUCCUGCUUUCAACAACUUCUCCACCUCGGCGUUUAUGGCCUCGUACCUUUCCUGGUUGCAGCAUCUCCUCUUCUGUCUCACCGGCCUUGCCCCCUUCUUGAUUGCCAACUUGUGGCAAGCUACCCCGCGAUCAAUUCCGGGCAUAUCUUCAUGAGACCAGGCGAAUAUAUCCGCAUGAGACUGUAGGCAAUUUACCAGCUCGCCUUUUACUGCCCCAAUCAAUCCUGACCCGAUCUUCACUACUCUGCUCGGGUUGCUUUUGCUUAUCGCAACUUCCUCCAGUUUCUCAACAGGCUCUUGGCGGCCCUUUUUAGACUCUCCUCGAUUAUCUAGAGAAGUAACCUGUAGUGUCUCCUUGGCCGCCGUAGCUUAACAACUCCUUGCCACCCUCUGGUCGCCUUUUACUACGCCAACCACCCCAUUUAUUCUGUAUUUCAGCGCCAAGUAAUGCGUGGAUACAACGCAUUGGCUUAUCCUCAUGAAUGGUCUCCCCAGUAUCAUCUGGUAAGGGCUUCUUUCCUCUACCACGACGAAGUCCAGCAUCAUCGUUCUUUCAAACGGCUUUGUCCCCACAAUAAUCGGGAGUUCAAUGAUCCCCAAGGGAGUUAACUGUCCCCCUCCAAAUCCUUUUAAGGAAGUAUUUGUCCGUUCCAGCUUUAAAUCUGAAAUCCCCAUAUCAUCUAGGGCUGACUUAAAUAGAAUGUCAACUGAACUGCCCGUGUCCACCAGUAUUCGCCGCAAUUCUGUGCUAGCCACCGAUGCUUUAAUUACUAGUGCAUCCUCAUGAGGAUAUAAAAUACCCUCUUCAUCCUCAUCUGUCCACAUAAUGGGAACUUGUCGCGCUUUUGCCUUCUUGGUUGCUGGCAAAUUGAAAAGCACUUCUUUGCUAGUCAGGGCGUAUCUCCCAUAGUUCUUCCGUGCCCUGUUCGAAUCUCCGGCCAAUGUUGGUCCUCCUGCUAUCACACGGAUAGUCGGCUGUUCACGUUCCAGAUCCCUCUCAACUCCCUCAUCCCGUGUGUACUGUGAUUCCAUGACAGGGGAUAUUCCAUCUACAUACUCGUCCAAGUAUCGGUUCCUCACUAAAUCCUCCACCUGAAUCUUCAGGUCACGACAUUGGCUGAUAGUGUGACCGUGAGUGUCGUGGAACUUGCAUAAUCGGCUCUUAUCCCGUCGGUGAGUCGGUUUUAUUAUUGGGGCUGGAGGGUACAACAGGCCUCGUCCCUCGAUCCUCUCAUACAAUUCCUCCAUGGAGAUCUUUAGCGGAGUGUAUUGUCUAUAUGCCAAGCUCUGGUCUACCAGCUGAACUGCUCGGCUAUCAUGAACGUCACCUCGGGAUGGCAUAGUCGCUGACUGAUCUGGUCGUCUAGCCCUGGAACUGGUUACGUGUAAUGCUCUGGGAGUGUUAUGAUAGCGGUCGGCAGCCAUCUGCCGGAAUUCUCGCUGCCGAUCCGGGAAUGGGGGACGUGGAGGUUGAGCCCGGUUGUGCUGGAACUGUUGUGAUCUCGGAGUUAUGGGGUAAGGGCGGGAUCGAGCUGAUGUUCCGCCCCUUACUGAGGGUUCCCCAGCUCGCUUUCCCGACCCGCUCCCAUUUGGAGUUCUCAUUUCCUUUCGUCUCAGCUCCUCCAGCUAUUCACUCUUUAUCUUUGCCGAUUUUUCUUCUUCGAUUUCGAUAUCUCUCUUUGCCUGCUCAUAUCCUGCUGAAUAAUUCUGCACCAGGGGGCUUCUCAGGUUAUACCAUAGCCGGCCUAUCCUCACACCCUCCUUUAAACCCCUCAACACCUGCGGGUGAUUGAAAGCUCCCAAAUCAAGUACGGCUCGGUGGUAUCGCUUUACAAAAUCCCGUAGGGACUCGUGCUCCUCCUGUUUCAUCCCCAUCAGUUCCAUCAUGUCGUCCUCUAGGGCUACUGCCCCUCGGAACUGCUCGGCCAACUCCUGGCACAUCUGCUCAUACCCCUUUAUACUUCCUCCGGGCAGCUUGCGGUACCAUUCUCGAGCUCGUCCCUCUAGUGUCAACGGGAACGCCCUGCAUCUCUGAGCUGAUGUCAGCCCCUGCACACCCGUCAUAUCGUUGAAACGCUCAAUGUACACCAGUUGGUCACUUCGCCCGGAGUAUUUGAGGUUGGGGAAGCGGAAAUCUCUUGGGAUUAUGAUACCCAUGAUCUCGAUUGAUAACAGAGAUUCUUCAUCUAACAUUAUCCUCCAGCUCGGGGGCUUUCUCUUGCCUUGUAUCUCCUCUAUCACCUGCGCCAACCUGCGCACCUCCCCCUCCAAUUCUAUAGCACGGCUAGGAUCACGCGCAGCUAUCUGGUCUCGCUUCUGCUCAGCGUUCUGCAACCGCUGUCUGAGCUCUCCUUCAUCAACACUGGCACCUCGGCCAGUAGUUUCCAGUACCCAUCCGGGGCGAGUUUGGUCUCUCCCUUCAUCCCCGUGUUCUCCUGGGACCCGGCCAGUACUUCUGUGGGGAUGCACCCCAUUAGGUUGGUCUGCGGGCGGAGGAAUGUCCUCGACUCUACGUCUCCGGAGGCUGGGUUCUGCUCCGACUUCAUCUCUUCCCACGGGGGUUUCACAAUCCCUUCUCCGCUCAUCCCUCAGCUCAAACAAUAUGGACGUGAGAGUCUCCAUUUGUUUCUCCAUCCGCUCCAGUCUGUCUUGCAUCAUCCUCUCUCGGGCUUCAUUCGCAAUUUCCCGGAGAGUGAUUGUCUCCCCAGCCUCGUUAUCCUCCCCAAAAGCGUCCUUUCUCGUCACAUCCAUGUCCAACCGUUCGCUAUUUCUCCGGUACUUCCUAAUUCGGUGGUAGCUUUUUAUCCAGCUCCCCACAGACGGCGCCAAAAUGUUGAUGCUUAAAUCUGCUCGCCUUUAGACCGACCAGAUUCUUUCACCAACGUUUGUGUUAUCUACUGUUGCUCGUUCACUGGGAUUGGAAUCGUCCUUCUUUCUCACAAUAGACCUGCGCUCACCAAAAACGGAUCAGAGACGCCGGUGGUUUUGCCGGCGUAAACCCUCCGAUGCUUAAGUUAGCUCAAGGUGUUUACGGGAAAACAGUGCAAUUUAGAUCUCAAAAUGGUUUCUAAAUUAUUCGGAGUUUAUAAGAAAAUAGCCUGGUUUCAAUUUGGCAGCGUUUCCCCUCUCUCAAUUUUUCCAUCCCCUUCUUCAUCGAUUUCUUCUUCUUUUAUAGCCGAUGUCCCCACGUUCCCGCUUGCCCUUCAUCCCACCUUUUUCGGGUAGUGGUAGCCUCUCAUGGGGCUCUAACUGCUGCAUUAUGGGCAAACGUGGGAUCUCGCGUCUCCCGCAACGGUUCUGGGAAAGCACAACUACCGUGAUUCUGUGAGAUCGUGUUUCCGCUUUUCGGGGGACGGGUACCGGCUCGGUAUGUGGCUCUGGUCAGUAUUCGUCUCUGAUCGACUCAUGUUACCCCUGUUCUGCUCGUACCAUUUGGCUGAGGUGAUUCAUGCCGGGGUGGAAGUAGUAUCCUGGCCGACCUGGUGCUUUUAUUUGCUUAACAUUGCCCAAGUGGUAUGCCUUUGUGGUCGUAAUUUUCAUUUGCAUAUACGUUGCCGCGUUUGCCUGGUCUUGGGGUCCUCUUGGAUGGUUAGUGCGCAGUGAAAUUUUCCCACUCGAAAUCCGGUCAGCAGCACAAAGCGUGAAUGUUUCUGUGAACAUGGCAUUCACAUUUUUGGUUGCACAAGUAUUCUUAAACAUGCUUUGCCAUCUCAAGUUUGGCCUGUUCAUUUUCUUCGCAUUCUUCGUCGUGCUGAUGACCAUUUUUAUCCACUUCUUCUUGCCCGAGACUAAAGGAAUUCCAAUCGAAGAAAUGGGUCAAGUGUGGAAGAAUCAUUGGUUCUGGUCCCGUUAUGUUGGCCAAGAUGAUUUCCUCGCCAAUGGAGGCCUAGAGAUGCACAAAGAAGAAACUGAUGUCAACAAUGUCUGAUCUGCAUGCUCAACUCCAUCCGGAUUUUUGUUUAGUUUCUAUUUUUAUUUUUUAUAUUUUUUAACAGUAAGUAGUAGUAGUACAGUUAUUCUGUCGGUUUAUUAUUCUAGCCUUAUCAAUGCCUUUUCUAUUCGACUUUAGUAGUGUUUAUUACAAUUUCUAAAGAAAUUAAUUUCAUGUAAGUUUUUACUUUAAUCAUUUUCCUUGUUUGGGUUCUCUGUUUUUCCUUUUUUUUUUUUUUUUUCAUCAGAAAUCGUCACUCUUACAAUUUGGACCAAGAAAUUCUUCACACAGGAAUCUGAAGAAAAAUUAACAAGGAUUGAAAAUUUUGACUUAUUGUUUAUCUUUUUUUUUUCUUUUCUCUUUUCCGUCUUCUCUUCUCAUUAAACAGACAUUAAGGCAAAAUUAAUAAAUUAUUUUAUUAUUGGUCUUAUCGUGAGUAGAAAAUCAUUGGUGCAAAUUCAAUUAUUUAGAUCAACAGAAAUUUUGGGAUAUGAAUCAAUGAGAAAAUUUUAAGUAUUCCUAAAAUAUUAUUCCUAUUUUAUCGUGAGUAGAAUAUGACCACCUUAUAUUAACUCAAGCUUUUUAUUUAAAAUUUUAACAUAAAUUCUCAUCUAUAAACUUUGUGGCAAAAUCUUAAGUUGAAAUAGGGAGAAAAAAAUCUAAAGAAUGUAUAAAAUUUGUAGAAAGAAAAGCCGCACGUGAGAUAUGUCAAAAUCAAAAUUCAUCAAUACAUCAAAUUUCAUAUACAUGGCAACUUAAACUCGCACAGUUCAAUGUCAAAAUUUAACUUUUAUCAAAAAGUAACGUUGCAUCCUCAUUUUACCUUUAACUCUAAGAGGUGUUGCAAUGGCCAAAGUAGCCAGUCAAUCUUUCUUUUGACGUUAUUUAAUCAUUCUGUACAGCAGAACACCCAUCAACUACUCUCAUCCUGGCCAUAGCUGCCUGCAUUGAGGAGUUGCUAAAGUUUAACAAUGAAAAAUAAAGCAACGAAAAAAUAAAUUUAACUUGAAUUAAUCAAGAACCUGUUUUUUCCAGUUUGUGAAAGUUGUAGCAAGAGAAAGAAGGGUGGACUGCACAACAGAGCCAGCCACUAUUCCGAUCCAAAGUCCCUUUCCUCUUAAAUGUGCUACAAAACCCAACACGGCACCCACUGGCAACCCAACUAAAUAAAAUGCCCCAAGGUUUAUGUACACCCUAUAUGCUGCCAUCCACACCCUUUCGCAACCCCUAUUGCAAACGUAGAAUCCACCUUUAUUAAGAAAUGAAAAUUUGAACCGCAUUUGAAUCCCAGAUGUUUUGUGGUUUGUGUAUUCAAGAGAUAAUUACCAACUGAUCUAGUCAACACCAACCUCUUGGAUGUAUACUUUAUAUGUGUGUGUCUAUAUAUAUAUAUAUAUAUAUAUAUAUAUAUAGCAUGUAUCUAUUUAACUAUUACGACAUUUACCAAAUGAUAUAUAAGUCAACAGUGACUCUUCAGUCUCCCAUAUUAUUAUCCAACAAAGACUUUAAUUGAAAGAAGUGUAAUUAGAAAGCAACUACUAACCAGAAAAAACAGCUUGUAAGCUGUCUGUAAUAACUGAGAGACAAAUCAGAGGAGCCAUAACAACAACAUAAUGCACAACUUGGUUGUCUUUGGUGUAAGCGUAACCCAAAAAAUAGCGGCAGCAGAAGAGGAUCGUGCCGACUAUCACUGCCUCUACCACAGCAUAACUUGUUGCAGCCCAUACAGCCACUCUAGCUGCUUGCAGAUUCCCAGCUCCAAGCUCAUUUGAAACUCGAGUACUAUACAUGACAUAUAUAUUAACAUGCACAUAGUCAAAUGCUAGCCUGCUCCAUUUGUAUUAUUUUAAAAAAAAUGCAAAUCACAGGGAGCAACCAAAAGCAAGAAAAAAAAAAGACCUUGCAGCUACUCCAAAAGCAUAUGGUAUUGUGAAGUGCAAUGUUGAAAUUGUAAGGCUGAUCAUAAAACAACAACGAUUAGAAGCAUAUACAGUUUAAUUCUAGGACAAUUUAUAAGUCAAAAUUAAAUAGUUAUAACUAAAAUAGGAGCUAAUUACCAAAUUGAAAGUACUGAAGUCUCCAGCUUGGGAUUCGGUAAAAGGCCGGAUAACAAAAUUAAGAUCUCCAUCGACCACCAUUUUAGACUAAUUAAUCACCAUAAUCGAUCACAAUAAGAGAGAGACUUUUGAGAUUAAAAGAGAAGAAACAACACAAAAAGCAAAAUUACCAUUCUAAGAGAUAAGAGGAAUAAUUACCAAACCAUUAUGGCAGAAGGUAUAGCCAAGCGAAAGAACUGUCCAAUGGCUAGUAAAGAUUCUUUAGAAACCGGCGCGCGAGUUUUCUCACAAGCUGAGGAGUACAUCAUGUACAAUCCGAGCAGUAUCACAUUCAACCAAGUUGAUAGACUGAAGGCUAGAGCUGCACCCAUGCUUCCUAAUUCUAGUUUGAACACAAGAGUCCAGCACGCAGGUAUAUGAAAACAUAGAAUUAGAAAAGAACUUGCAAACAUGGGAAGAAUCAAGCUCUGAGUCUGAAAGUAUCGGGUUAGUGGUUUCAGGAUUGCACUCCCGAAUAAUGCAGGGAUUAGCCACAUUGAAUACUUGCGUGCUUCGUGGGAGAUUACAGGAUCUUGGCCUAUUAGAGGUAACAAUUUGUCCAUAAAAAUCCACAACAGGCAAACUAGAGGGCAAACAAGAAUCAACGAAAUUAUGGCAGUGUAAGUAUGAACUCCAAGCUUCCGAAAUUGUGCUGCUCCAUAAGCUUGCCCACAUAGAGUUUCCAAUCCACCAGCCAUUCCUGACUGCUUGGCAAGUCCAAAUUAAAUUCAAUCAUUAAUCAUCAAAAUUAUCUCUAGGAUUAAUUAAACCUGAAGAUGAAGGUAAUGUGAGUAGAGAGCAGCAAACUUACUAGAAGACUAAAGCCGGUAACAUUUGUGAGAGAGGUGGCAAUGGCUACACUAGACAGGGCAAGCUGGCUUAGAUGUCCCACCAUUACCGUUGACACAACUUGCAGAAGGUACUGCAACACAGAGACUGCCACCAUUGGUGCCGCGAUACGGCCAGUCUUCUUCAGCUCUUCCAUAAAUCCACCCCAUGUAAUUGCCCAUCUCUUCUCCUGGCUCUCUCCAACUUCCAUAUCCAUGCAAAAUUGAUAAAUGAUAAUAAUGAUGGUAUCUUAGUUUGCUUUGCCACUAUUAAUAAAAAGAGCCAAUCCAAAGAAACACGAAGUUUGUAUGCUGUCCUCUGUUUUGGCUUUACUUGAGAAUUCAAUAUUAACGAUUUUAUGUUUUGACUGUUCAAAAGAGCAUGCCGAGAGGUUCAAAUUAGUGGACUCUAAUUCCCAACUUUCUGUUGUUUAUAAUCAUUAUUAUACAUUCCCCACGAGCACGGCACAGACAUGAGUAAUGCGGCAAGGGUGCGUUUCGCACACUGCAUUGUAUUAUGUUGUAUUGCAUUAUUUUAAUAUUGGUGUAUUAUAUUAUGCUGUAUUGUAUUAGCAUUGUAUUAUAAUAAUGUUAUAUAAUGUUUGGUGUUAUACUGUACUGUAUUAUUUUUUUAAUUAAUUUAAAUUAAAUAUUAUAUUAUAUUAAUGUUUUAUAUUAUAUUAAUAUAUUUAAAUUGCAUUAAUAUUUUAUGUUAUUAUUUAUAUUAUUAUUAAUUUUAAAUUAAUAUUAUUCAAAUUUAUUCAUAUUUAAAUAUUUUUAUUAGUUAUAAUAAGUUAUAAAUUUAUUAAUAAAUUAUAAUGUAAAAAUAAAAAAUAUACUAUUAUUGAAUGAUAAAUUAUUAAUUUAUUAAUUAUAUUAAUAAUUAUAAUGUAAAAAUAAAUAAAAUAAAAAUAUUAUAUUAAAUUAAAAACCAUAUUUAUUUAUUAUUUUAAUAUUAUAAUAAUAAUAAAGUGAAAAGCAAAAUAAAAUUAAAAAAAAAAAAACAAAGCUAAUGCGUCAGUUGACGCAUUAGCCUCCCACCCCAAUCCCUUGCAAUUUUAUUCCAAACAUAGGUUUGGUAUUAUGUUAAUGUAAACAGUAUUAUAAUAUCCCCUUAAUACUAUAAUCAAACACACCCUAAGAUAAUUGCUGGUGUUUAAUCGGUCAGAUUUUUCAUCUUUUCUCGAUCUUUUGAAAAAUCAUAAUAAUGAUUAUAAUAGAUCCCCAGACACGUAGAUGGGAUUGAGAUUUUGUCUGAUAUGGCUUGAUUUGAAGUAUUUUUUUAUAUCUGCAAUUCUGCAUAUAGUAAGUACAAUCAUAUCUUCUGAGUGAUAGACUUCAUUUUUGGCCGUUCUGAACAAAAACUAUGUUCAAUGACAGUACUGAACUCUAAAUUUCAGUGGAAUAUAAUAAAGGAGAGGAAUAAAAAAGCAUAUUGCAAAUUGGAUGUACUCUCUCACAUCUGAAUCAUUUAAUAAUUGCUUUUGGAAGCACAUUUUUGACUAGUUACUACAUAAUAUCAGCUUAGAAGAAACAGAUGCGAUUCCCCUAGUGGCUUUCAAAUUGCAAUCAGUUGUACGCGAGCGAUUCCUUAACAGAUGAGAAGAAAGAAAAAUGGCAAAAAAGGAAAAAAAACAAUUCUGAUGUUUUCAGGAGUCAGUAGAUGCUGUUGAAAUACAUAUUUUUCACUGUCCUCCCCUUAACUAUGUUAGACUUUAUGUCUAAAUUCGCACUUGUCUCCCAAGAUUUUGAUGGACUGUUAACAUGGAUGACUAAAUGAAUAAAAAUACAUAGACGCCCCUGAUUUGAAGCAAAAUCACCAUGCCAGGAAACAAAACAGCUCGUGUAUAAAGAGAUGACAGUGUUAAUUUCGACAAAAAGAAACUGUGGGUUGGACAAAAUCCAUGAGAGGAUAGUGAAAAAUAUAUAUUUUGAUAUAAUGUAUAUAGUAUAUCAUUUCAAAACUCAAAAGUCGUUUCGUUCUUUAAAAAAAUUCCACUGCUUUAAAAUUAAAAAUCACAUUUAUAAUUAAUUUUUUUAUCAAGUUCUAAAUCCUUUUAUUUUGUCAACAUCCUAAAAUUAUAAUAAGAAUUAACUAUGCUUUGAUUGAUAAAACUAAUGGGGAUUUCGUUCUUAUUUGAUAAAAUCAAUAGUCAUUUCGUUCUUAUUUAAUGUGUUUCCAACUUGUGAGCAAUGGGAGGUAGAAAGCAAACUUGUCCACUUUCAAUUCCCAAACUCAUAAGAAUCAGACCUUUUUUUUUUCAAAUGAUCAAAUAAAUACAAUUGGCUACUUUGACAGACAGGAACAAUACAAGUGUCUUAACAUGUCGAUCAAAUGGCCAAAAGUAAGACGCAAUCCCUAAGUCUAACUUACAAUUGCUAAAAAUAACGUAAAAAUGGACCAGUAUCAUCAUUUUACCUCGUCUUUAAUGGUUGUCAGUUACACUAAAUAUAUUUUAAGGAGACAAUAAUAAUAAUAAUAAUAAUAAUAACAAUUUGAGUAGAAAUUAUCACGAACAUAUUCCUGCAUAUCUUAACAUCUUCAAAGAUAUGUGACUUAUUGAUGUGACGCUCCAUUUUAUCAAACAGUUGCAUCAGAAAAUUCUGAAGGGACUACAAAUGCCUUUUGAUGCAUAGAAGAUUUACAUUACUGACAAACCAAGGACAAAGCAGAAAGAAGCAAGUUUCGAUUUGUUUCUCAGCCAAAAAUCAAGUUCUUCCAUUAUCUUCUGUCUACUUCUUCCCCUAUUAACUCCAAUUUUUGCUCAGACCCUUGGUUUUGGAAUUGGGCAAGUAAUUGGAGGAGUCAAAGAGAAAGAAAGUAAACAAAAUAUAAAUAUAUAUAUCAGCAACUCCCUAGAUCUAAUCUGCUUCUGGCUCAGUUAGGUGAUCAGUCAUUAAGAUCUAUUGCCUCUCCACCUUCUUACUAGUACUCCCAGCCCUUUAGAGCAAAUUAUUAAACCAACCCUCGGAAAGUUCAGACACAUCCUUUGUAUUCCAACUGUGCAAGUGUAAUGUUAACCUAAGGUUCUCUUUCUUUUCAUUUGUAUGCUUGAAGAAAAAUCAACAAGAAAAUGCAAUACCAGCAGGUAUUAUUUGUAAUUCAUAUGGAAAUUAUCAUUAACAUAUGCCUACAUAUCGAAAUCUUCAAAAGGUUGUCAGAGUUUAUCCGCAGCAAUCCAAUCUAUUUUAUCAAAGACAGAAAAACUUAUGUUCAAGCAGAACAAUCAAAAGGGAAAGUAAAUGCCCGAAUUUUGAGCUAGCACCAAUAAAUUGAAGAUGUACAUUAUUGACAAGCCUAGAACAAUAUCAGCUUGAAAAGAAGCAGAUAAAAGCACAUAUUUAGACAAGAGAAACUUACAAACUACCUCAGUUUUUGUGCUGCAGUUGGGACACCAGAUGAACUCAAGUUGGCCCUUUCUGAAUCGUUUGCUGCACGAAAGCCAGCUGUAAUAAAUGUUACUAUUGAUCCCUAUGCCAGUACAAACUACCUCAGUUUUUGUGCUGCAUCCUACCACUUUCUGCACCGGCAUAGGGUUCAAUAAUAACAUUUAUUAAAGCUGGCUUUCGUGCAGCAAACGAUUCAGAAAGGGCCGACUUGAGUUCAUCUGGUGUCCCAACUAAAUAUCCUUUUCCCCCAAAAGCUUCCAUGAGCUUAUGAUAAGCUGCACCAGGUACAAAAGAAGUAGGUGCAGGAUCAUCUUUGAAAGGCCCUGCAAUUUCUUCAGGGUUUCUGCGAUCUCCACCAUACACACCACCAUUAUUAAAAACUAUCACGACAACAGGCAACUGAUAUCGAACCAAUGUCUGCAAAAUCAGAAGAAACAGAGACCACAUUAGUCUCUUUUUCCUCUCCCACCUUUUUCCAUUUAUUGGAUGAGGAUAUGCUAUACGUAUGAAUCAACUUUGGACUUAGACAAAGUAAAAUUCAUUUAUUCCAUUAAUUGAUUAACAUUGACACACUAUCUUCUAAAAAUUCAUUUAUUCCAUUAAUCAAUCUUCUAACUACACAGAUAUGCAAACAUCCAAGUGCGAGCACAUCACAAGCACAAAUUCUCAUUUUUCAUUCAGAAGGAAAGUGAAAAAGAGGGGGGGAAAAUGGAAGGUAUCUACAAUAAAAAACCCUCAUCUAAGUCACACAUCAAUGAAGAAUGCAAUAGAAGAAAUCUUUCCACUAAAUACAGAAAGAUGCACCAAGAACUACCCUUCUGAAAGCAAGGCAGCAAUUACGCAAGUUCGGAUUAGCUAAAACUAAAUCCGACAGUGGCCAUAUAGCAUUUGAUAAUUACAAGACUACUCGUUCACUAGAAUAGAACCAGCAUCAAAAGAAACUCAAAUAUCCAAAUCGUAAGAAAAUUAAGGAUAUAUUGAGAAAAGGAAGACACAGGGGAUAAAAGCCAUUUAGGAACCGUACCAUCAACUAUCGAUCCCUGAGAAAAAAGGAAAUGAGCUAGGAAACUAGAUAAAGUAAAACCUAAACAGUAUGUCCUAAAAUCAAGAAGCCAGACUGCCUGUAAUGAGCAAGCGAAGUUUUCCAAAUUUGUGACCAUCAUCCCAGUAAAUAAUGAAAUGCUUUAGAACGCAUGAUAAAGUUGAUGCUGGCACUCAAAGCUUUAAACAAGCAAGAUUUGACUUCCCAAACUAAGGUAGUCAGUCUCUCCCAUCAAAUAGAGAAGGAUCCAGUACAAGCUGAUGAUCAAAACUUAGAUUUGCCUAUAUCCACUUGAAACUGCAUCAGCCUUCAAAUUCUUCAAAAGUUAUUACCAUAGGAAGACAACUCACAAAUGUCCUAAAUCUUUAAAAUCUAAUAUUAGACCAUUGGAGAUGUGCCGCAGAUUUCAAUAUUAAAGCGAAAGUAGAAUAAAAUGGAACGCUAAAGAGAAUCUUAAAAUAACAAAAUAAUCAUAAAUGACUAGCAAUUUGCAUCAUGUUUGUUGAUGAAUUAAGGAAGUCAAGCAUGGUGUACAAGUUUAUUCUUGUGAAUAAAAUGUAUGCAUAAAUAUCGUUAUAUGCUAGAGAUCAUAAUUAUGCAAGAGAGCCAUACCUCAACCUCAACCGCACUGAACCCAAAUCCAGAGUCUCCUUCAACAGCAACCACAAGCCGUUCAGGGCAAGCUAUUGCAGCAGCAAUGCAAUACCCUAAACCAACCCCCAUGGUCCCCCAAGUCCCUGCAUCCAGCCUACAACGAGGCUCAGUUUGAACCAAUACUGCCCUACCCACAUCCAUAGUAUUUGCCCCUUCAGAUACCAAUAUAGGAGCGGGGCUCCCGACUCCUAAGAUCGCAUCUCUUAUAAUCCUCAUUGGCGUCAUGAAAUUAAACGGCACAACAUCCUUCACCAACUGAACCUCCAUUUUCAACACAUUGUCAUUCGUUUUCUUCCAAAUAGCCUCAACCCAAGGAUGAUUUUUCCCCAAACAAAAAGGUUCAUCUUUAAUCUCCUUAUUAAUCAUUUCCAACACUUUUUUAGCAUCUCCAACCAAACCCAAGUGUGGUUUCCUUAACUCAAUCUCUUCCUUGCAAACAUCAACCAAAACAAACUUCACAUCCUUCGACCACUUCGGUGGCUCACCAAAAUGCAACAACCAAUUAAGCCUCGCACCAACAACAAGCGCAACAUCACAUUGACCUAUGGCUAAUGACCUCGCAGCGGUAGCAGCAAGCGGAUGGGUAUCAGGCAACAGACCUUUACCCAUUGGAGUAGGCAAAAAUGGAAUCCCAGUGCUUUCAACUAAUUUCUUCAAUUCACCCUCAGCUCGCGCAUAAGCUGCGCCUUUCCCAAACACAAUCAACGGCUUCUUUGCUUCUUUAAGCAAAGACACCGCUUUAUCGAUAUCAGAAUUCACAAUCCCCCCUUGCGUCACCGUUUCUUUGGCACUCUCCGCUUCCUUCAGAAGCUUCUCCGCUUCAGAUACCGAUAUCGUUUGAUGUAAAACAUCAGUGGGUAGAUCCAAAUAACACCCGCCGGGCCGCCCCGAAACAGCUCGUUCAAGAACCUGAGCGACACACUUGGGAACUUCCGUAAUGUCCUUCGCUUUUACAGCAAAUUUCGAAAAAGGCUUGACGGCUUCCACUUGGUCGAGUUCUUGAAAAUCGCCGCGGCCAAAAUCUUUCUGAUCGCAGGAGCCGGAUAUCAUGACGAUUGGCCACGUGUUAAUCAUCCCAUUCGAGAGACCAGCCAGACCGUGCACGUAACCCGGACCGGAAACAGUUAACAGAAUGCCGGAUUUUCCAGUCAGGUAUCCGUAGGCGGAGGCGGCGUAGCCAGCGGACUGCUCAUUGUGGAAGGCGAUGAACCGGACGCCGAGCUGGACGGCCCGGUUCGCUAAGGAAGUAACGGGAAUGCCCACCACGCCGAACAUGUGGGUGGCACCGAAUAGUGACAAGGAUUUGGCCGCCAGGGUGUUGCCGUCGAUCUGGGCAUUUUGGGAAUUUUGCAACUCCGAACCCGCCAUUGCUUGCUAGAUGUGUGUGUUUGUGCUAAUGCCCGAGUGAGAAGUGGACGGGGCAAGGGUAAACAAUUUUUUUUUUUUUUUUUUACCACGAGUUAUUUUGGGGUGGAUUAACAGUGGGAGAUACUUCAAGUUCCUAUCAUAAUUUAGAGAGAGACACUUUUAAGUUCGUACCAUAAUUUAAAUUAAAAGUUUAAGUUCUCUUAAUAAAAAUAACUUUUCUAUAACUUAAAUUAAGGAAUAAAUUCAGUCAAACCACUUAAGAAAAAUUCAUUGUCAAUGGAACAACACUUUAUUGGUAACAAAUUCAGCUUUAGGUUGUUGAUAUAUACAUAGGUAAUGGACGAAAUGUCUAUCAUGCCCUUUCCGGCGAUGGUAGCUGGGACAGGUGCCAAUUUUUUUGCAAAUGCGACCAAAAUGGAUAGCUUCACCCAUAAAACGACAUAACUGGUAGUAGGUAUAGCGACAAUGCUUUCCCGAUUAUCAUUAUAUUUUUCUCUGUAGUUAUAAAUAAAGGUGACAAUUUGUUUCCAAAAGUAUCGUUAUUAAUCCUCAUCCGUUGAAUUAUAACACGUAAUUAUUACUUAGGGAUGAUAUUGCUUAAUCGGAAAGAAGGAUGUAAUAACUUUAAAAAAAAAAAUACAUAUGACAUAUAAGAGCAUCAUUAGAAAAUUCUUUUAAUUUAAUUUUUUAAAUACUUAUUUAUUUAUAUAUGUUAUAAAUAGAAGAGAGAAAAUAUCAUUUCUCAUAAGACUUUUCAAAUAAAAAUAAAUUUAUACUAUUUUACUCAAAUUUUUUCUUUCAUUAAAAUAAUAACAAUUAUAACUAUUCCAUCUCUUUAAAAGUAAUGAAAUAAAAAAUAAUAUAGUACGAAAUUAAGUGUUCUAAAAGACUCUCUAAAUAAAUUUUUUUAAAUUUCAAUAUGGACAAUUUUAUUUAAAAAUUAUUUAAAAACUCUUUUUAUUAACAUAACUCUUUAAAUAAAUAGUAAAUUUUCAUUAAAUUUUUUUUUUAAAAAUGUCUAUAACGAGAAAAAAAAUAUUAAUAGCAAGGGUUUGGCUAUGUUGGAGUUCACCUACGGUGGAGAACGAAUCUCAGCCACAUACACAAAAUGAUAAAGAAUAAAUAAUGAGUUAUAAUGAGUUUUUUAAUAUUUAUUACUUUGCGUGUGUGGUUGAGAUUCGUGUUCCACAGUAAGUGAACUCUAACAUAAUCAUAGCCUAACAACAAUUACCAAAUCAAAUCUUUGAGCACAUGAUUUUAUAUGGGCUUCUACAAAUUGUGGACAUCCAUAAAUAAAUUAGAGUUCAUAACCGAUUCUUGCUCUGACAUAUUCUGUUUAAUUUUUAAUUUAGAAUUUCUCAGUUACAAUUUACAACUCUUAUAUUCCUAUACAUGAAUUGCAAUGCCUUGGAUGCUUGUGUUGAAAUAUGAUGCAACCGAAGCAUGUGUGACGUUGUAUGACAUGUCAUGUAUAACGAAAAAAAAUGUACGACUUGUCAUCCUUAAACUAAAAGACACGUAUGACAAAAAAAAAAUGGUUAUCUCCAAUUUAUAUUUCCGAUUACAAUAGUCAUUGAUUCAGUGCUCAGCAAAGUUAAAUCCUAGUUCUAAUAAUAUACUCAGGGUUUUAUUUAUUUAUUUUGUAUUUUUAGAAAAAAAUAUUUGACUAACAAUCAUCAAGAUUGACUAACAUAUAUUACUUGACAACAAAUAAAGAAACUACUGCUCAAGAGACACUUUCAACAACGCAUAGACGUGAGGUAAAUAACAAGAGUGAAUAGACACUUAGGUAGUGUUUACUUGUUGUAGUAGGAGUAAGGAGUCUGGAUUCCUCCUACUCCAGUGUUUACUUACUAAUUUUAAAGGAGGAGUGAGAAUCCUACUCCUUGGGACCCACUUUUUUUUGGAGUGGGGAGUGGGAAUCCACUCCCCUCUCUUCCAUUUUUAUCCUAAUAUUUAAUUAAAUAAAAUAAAUAAUAUUUAAUUAAAUAAAAUAUUAUUAUUAUUUUAUUUUAUAAAUUAUACUUAUUAAAAAUAAUAAUUUAUAUUGAUUCUAAGUUAAAAUUACUUAAAAAUAAUAUUAUUAUACUCACAGAGAAUUAAUAAUAUUACUAUAUACUCUUUUUAUUUGAAAAUAUAAUAUUAUUAUAUUUAUUUAAAAAUAAUAGUAUUAUAUUUAUUUAAUAUUAGUAAUUAAUAAUAAUCAAUAUUUUAUUCUAAGAAAAUAUUAAUUUUGUAUUAUAUUAUUAAUAAUAAUGUUUCAUUUGUGUUGCUCUUAAUAAUAAUUUUUUAUUUACAUAAUUAAAAUUAAAUUUAAUAAAAAAAUAUUUACAUAAUUAAGAAUAUUAUUAAUUAUUAUUAAUUUAAAAAUAUAAUAAAAUAAAUAUUUUAUUUUUCAAAUCUAUUUUUUUAUUAAUUUUGUAAUUAAAAACUAUAAUUCUUUAAAUAAGGAUAAAACUGUAAUUUAAAAUCAUUUACUCUCAAUUCUAUGCUCUCAUUCCAGUGUAAGUAAACAACUUAUUCCCACUCCCACUCCAUACUCUACACUCCUAAUCCCAAAAUUCUCACUGCUCAUGAUUCCCACUCCAAUCUAAAAUGUAAACGCACCAUAAUUAAUUGAUUGAUAAUCGAAGUUCGAAGCCUCAGUGUGCUAACAAGCAGUAAAGUCAACAACACUAAGCUAUAAAUGGCAAACGUUAAUGCUCAUGAUGACAUCCAAAUCAAGUUCAGAAUCGUUGAACAUUUGAAAACAAUCACAACAGGAAGCUAUAAAUGGCAAAAGUAUGGAGGUGCCACUAUUGCCUGAGAGGGAAGAAGAGAGGAAAUGGGUGGUGGUGGUGCUACCACGGCUAUCCUUUUUGGAAGAGCUGAAGACGUUGAGCUUCUUAUCAGCGCCGCCGGCAGGGGUGGCCUGUUUUCGGUUCUUUUUGCUGGCUACAGCAACGAUGAUGGUGGGACACCUUGGAAAACUUUCACUUGAUAGUAUUGCCAUUGCUAACUCCUUAAUUAAUGUCAUCGGCUCCAUUCCACUUGUAAUAUUUUCUUCAUUCCCUUUUCUUUUUACCAUUAGAAAACUGCUUUACUUCUUCUUCUUCUUUGUUUCACAUCAAAGCAUGCUUCGUUUAUUUAAUCUAAUGACACUGCUUUGUAUGCCUUUUGUUUUGUAGCAAGUUAACAAUUUGCUUGUGCUCGCUAGAAAAUUGUUUAAAUGACUCAAUAUAAUCCACACAGCAAUAAUAUAACAAUAGCUAUUUUUAAAUCCAGAUCAACGACAAGCAACCACAACUAUAUGGUUAAACAAGUUAAAUCAAGCUCGUUUAGCUAUAAUAAGCAAUCAACUUUAGAACUUUAGCUUGACUUUCAUAGGUGAGAAUACCAAGCAGGUCUAUUUUGACUAGGCUAAGAUCAACAAAUUAAUAAACUUUGAUUAAUUAUUGGCGAAGAAUUAAUCAAUAUUACUUGGAAGAUAUUAAGAAACUUUGUUCACCUUUUCUGUCACUGGUCCAAAUAAUUUAUGAAGUACUUUUUUGAGCCUUUUUUUUUUGGAAAGGUAGUACUUUUUGAGCUUGAACAAGCAUUAUUAUAACUGAUCUUAGUUUACUCCAUAUUUUCCAUGCUACCGCUGUUUACAUAAAACGGAUUUUGGGAGAAUAGCAUAUAUUUCAUCAAUAAUCAAUUGAGACAUAUAAGAUUAGCCAACAAAAUGAUAUCUAAUGUGGACAAUGCCAUUAAAUUUUGAGCAGUUUGGUUUUGCCUCUGCAUUAGAGACUCUAUGUGGACAAGCUUAUGGAGCAGAGCAAUAUCAAAAGAUUGGAACCUAUACUUACCCUGCUAUGUUCUUUUGCAUUGCAAUUUGUAUCCCCAUCUCUGUUCUUUGGAUAUUCAUGGACAAAGUACUAAACUGCUAGGCCAAGACCCUGAUUUUUUUGUCGAAGCCUGCAAUUACGCAAUUUGGCUCAUACUGACAUUAUUUGGCUAUGCUAUUCUUCGAUCACUAUCUCACAAUCUCCAGGCUCAGAGCUUGAUUCUGGCAUUGUUCUUAAGCUCAUGUGCAACUCUUUGUUUGCAAAUUCUUCUUUGUUGGGGUCUAGUAUCUAAAACAGACUUUGGAAAUACAGGAGCAGAAUUAACCAUAGGUAUUUCUUAUUGGUUCAAUGUGAUCAUCCUUGCACUUUACAUGGGAUAGAACUCACACGGUGAUCACCAAGGAAAUUUUCCCUAGCACGAAGGAGUUCUCCUUCUUUGCACACCUUUCAGUUGUAAUGUUUUGGUAAUUUGCCUAUCGUACUUUGCAAUGUUUUUGUUAGUUUUCUGUUCUUAUAAAUUGACUUACAGUGUGCCUUUUGUUUCCAAUAACUAAAGUCUCGAAUGGUGGUCAUAUGAGAUUCUGGUACUGCUGUCUUGAAUAUUACCAAAUCCAAAACUUGAAACAUCAGUUCUUACAAUAUGGUACGUAUCUACACUUACGGUUUUGACUUUUGAGUAAACGGGGAAAAUUCUCAGUAGGGUUGAAUUGAUUUCCUUUGCUCUUCAUAUGCAGCGUUACAAUCCAGUCAACACACCAUUUUAUGCCAUUUGGUAUUAGUGCUGCCGCAAUGUUUGAUCUAUAUGUUGUUUCAAAAGCAUGCACUUACGAGUAAAUGAAAUAAUUCAUUACCUACUAGUUAAAAAAACCCUGAUUAAUUCUGUGUACUGAGCUGUAUCGCAAUCCACCGUUGUGCAGCACUCGAGUGGCAAAUGAAUUAGGAGCUGGAAAUCCAGAACCAGCUCGAUUGUCUACAUGUGUCGUGAUAUUUCUUGCAGUUGCAGAGGCAGCCAUAGGAAGCGUAGCUCUAUUCUGCUGCCGCAAUGUUUUGGCAUAUUUGUUCAACACUGACAAGGACGUUGUGAAUUAUGUGUCUGAAUUAGUUCCUCUGCUUAGCACUGCCAUUUUCAUGGACAGCAUGCAAUCAGUACUUUCCGGUCAGAAUCCCAUCAUUCUGUCAGGACUUUUAUUUUCACUCUUUUCACUCAGCUAGUGCUUCAGAGCUUGAAAAAGAUUUGAUGAUUUAUUUCUCACCAUUCACUUUCCUUAUCACAAGUAGCUAGAGUAAUUGGGUGACAGCACAUAGGAGCUUACGUAAAUCUUGGUGCAUUUUAUCUUGUUGGAAUUCCGGUAGCAUCUGUGCUAUGUUUUGUUCUUCAUCUUAGAACAAAAGGCCUUUUGCUCGGAUUAAUCAUUAAUGCCAGGCUCAACUGUCGCAAUUGCGCUCGCCAUCGUUACUUCUUUAACAAUUUGGGAAAAACAGGUUUCUAUUUCAUUUCACACUUUUUUCAAAUUAUCUGCUUCUUCAGCAGUGAGUUAUCCUUUAAUUUUGCUGGCUGACAUUGAUCUUUCAUGUGGAUAUCUUUCCAGGCUACCUUGGCCAGAGAGAGAAUAAUUAAGGGAGCAUCUUCAACUGAUAAUAGAUCGGUUCGAUGCAAAACGUAAUUAAACAUUUUGUUUCCAUCGUAUCAAAAUUUCUUAGGAUGUGAGCUGCGAGUAUAUACUGUUACAAAACCAAGACCAAUUUUGGACAAUGCUAUUGUUGUGGCAAUUAAUUUAUCGAAAACUUGGUGUGCAGAAGCAAACCCAAGAAUUUUAAGAGCAAACAAUGUCCAAAUCACCAAUACAAUCAAUUUUGUGAAAUUGAUUCACAAGGCUACGUCCUCGGAUAAUUCCUAGAUUUACCAUGAAAUUUUACAUUUAAAAGAAGCAUGAUAAACAUCCUUUAUUUUAAAAUUAUGGAUUCUCUCAUGAUUUAAAUUCUCGUAGGAGCAAUUCAUAGUGGUGAUGGUUAUUAAUAUAUAAAAAUGUAAUGAUAGUUUAGUUUAAUCCCAACCAUUAUUUGUGACAAACACUUGGCGCAAGAUCUUAGACUCUUAAAUCGAAAUGAAUAAAUGUUUUAAACCUCAGUCGCAUUUAAACUUGUAUAAACUAAAAAUAGUCAAUUUCUAUUUUAAAUAAUCACAUUUAAGAUAGUUUAUGUGUUGAUCAAAUACUUGUUUAGACUUGUUUAGGCUUUCAAACUAUAUAUGUUGAUCAAAUACACUGAGUAUGAGAUGUGGCUUGCAAAACAGCUAAGGCAAAAUAGUCCCCAAAUAAUUAAACCAGAUUAAUUUCCACAACUGACAAAUAGAAGUGUCGUACAUUUUUCAAAGAGCGUGUCUUAAUCGUGCCGAUUAACAUCCAAAAUGUCUUUGUUAUUAGUCGAUUACUACUAGCUAUUAUUGUUAUUAUUAUAACAGUUACCACGAAAACAUCGUCGAGAUAUUUCAUCCAUCUCACCCCAUUUUCAUGCACAAAUAAAUUGAAAAAGAAAAAUCACUUAUGAAUGAUGAGAAUCGAGCCUCUUGCAACAUAUCUACAUGGUAUAUUUUAACCAGGCACUGAGUGUAGCUAGGGACAACAUGCGAUGGUCAGCCUCUUGCAACAUACCUAAACUUCAGUAUGAUUGGUAAUCAACAAAAGUACUAGUCAAUCUUGACUUCAAACUCAAGGGAAGCAUCUUUAUCCGAAUUAAAGAGAUCCAGUCUAUCAUUUAUUGUUGUAUUGUUAGCAUACAAUUAUUACCAGAGAAUACAAGCAUAUAGAGGUUCUGCCCGAGGCUGAGAACGAAGAAGAGAAGAAGAAAUGGGCGGUAACACGGCGAGCGUUUGUGCAAGAGCUGAAGAAGGUGAGCUUCUUGGCAGCGCCUCUUGCCGGGGUAACUGUUUUUCAGUUGCUUUUGCCGGCUGUAUCAACGAUGAUGGUGGGACACCUUGGAAAACUUUCGCUUGCUAGCAUUACCAUCGCCACCUCUCUCACCAAUGUCACUGGCUUCACUCCACUCGUAAUUUUUUUUUCUUAAUUUUUACCAUUAAAAUGCCCUUCUAUAUAGGGCGUUACUUUUGAUUCUAUUUUCUUUUCUUUACUUUAGCUUGACUUUCAUGGGUGAUCAGAGCAAUCAACUUGAUAAAAUAGUAAGGGUAUAACAAAGGUUUUUCAUCAAACAAACAGUUUUAUAUACGUAUUUAGCUUAAAAGCUAUAGCUGCUAGGAAGCAAUACCAAAAGGAGUCUGAAUAUAUAAUUCGCUAUACCAUUCCACUCACCAGAGCGAAUAAUAUUUUCAUGUUCUGCUUGAGUUUGAACAAGAAUUAUACUCUAACUAACCAUUUUGGUGUGCUACUGUACUUAACUAGAUUUGCGAUAAUUGCUUAUAUGUUUCUUCUUUAUUUCAAUCUGUUAAGAUUAGCCUGCAACAUGAUAUCUUAGUAUUUGUGUUUCUGAAUCAGUACAAACUUGUCAAAUACAUGUAUAAUGUUGACGUUAACUUUAAAUUUUGAACAGUUUGGUUUUGCCUGUGCAUUAGAGACUCUAUGUGGACAAGCUUAUGGCGCAGAACAAUAUCAAAAGAUUGGGACGUAUACUUACUCUGCUAUGUUCUUUUGCAUUGCAAUAUGUCUCCCAAUCUCUGUUCUUUGGAUAUUCAUGGACAAAAUAUUAAUGCUGCUACACCAAAACCCUCAGAUUUCUGUUGAAGCCCGCAAUUAUGCAAUCUGGCUUAUACCAGCAUUAUUCGGCUAUGCGAUUCUUCGAUCACUGUGUCACAAUCUCCAGGCUCAGAGCUUGAUUCUAACAUUGUUCUUAAGCUCAUGUACAACUCUAUGUUUGCAUAUUCUUCUUUGUUGGGUUCUAGUGUUUAAAGCCGACUUUGGAAGUACCGGAGCAGCAUUAUCCAUUAGUAUGUCUUAUUGGUUCAAUGUGAUCAUCCUUGCUCUUUACAUGAGACACUCUCCAUCGUGUACAAAAACUCGCACUUUGAUCUCCAAGGAAAUUUUGCCUUGCAUGAAGGAGUUUACCGCCUUCGCUCUCCCCUCGGUUUUCAUGUUUUGGUAUAAUUUGUCAAUCUCACUUUGCAAUGUUAUUGUUAGUUUCUGUUAUUAUUGGUUUACUUACAGCGUGCUGUUUCGUUCCCAAUAAUUAUAGUCUUGAAUGGUGGUUCUAUGAGAUUCUGAUAUUACUGUCGGGACUUUUACCAAACCCCAAACUUGAAACAUCAGUUAUAUCUAUAUGGUACACUUCUGACAUCACUUGUGGUUUGCUUUUGGUGAAUUUUUUGGGGAAACUCUCAAUAGGGUUGAAUUGAUUUUCUUUGAUCUCCAUAUGCAGCUUUACAAUCCAGGCAACACACUAUUUUAUACCAUUUGGAAUUGGUGCUGCCGCAAGGUUUGAUCUAUGUCCUAUUUCAAAAGAGAUGCAAGUGGCAUAUGCAUUAUUUCUGUGUACUGAGAUUUUCUGUAGCAUUCGAGUGUCAAAUCAAUUAGGAGCUGGAAAUCCACAGCCAGCUCGGUUGGCUACCCGUGUUGCGGUGGCUCUUGCUGCCGCAGAGGCAGCCAUAGUGAGCAUAGCUCUAUUCUGCAGCCGAUAUGUCUUGGCAUAUGCAUUCAACAGUGACCAGGACGUCGUGAAAUAUGUGUCUAGAUUAGCUCCUCUGCUUAGUAUUGCUAUAUUCAUGGACAACAUGCAAUCGGUACUUUCCGGUGAGAAUCCUAACAUUCUAUCAGGAUUUAUUUGCACUCAUCUAAUGCUUAAAUAGCAGUGAACAUGCAGCUAAUAAUUUAAUUUUCGCGAAUUUACCUUUCUCGUCAGGGGUAGCUAGAGGAAUUGGGUGGCAGCACAUAAGGGCUUAUAUAAAUCUUGGUGCAUUUUAUCUCGUUGGAAUCCCGGUAGCGUAUGUGCUAUGUUUUUCAGUUCAUCUCAGAACGAAAGGCCUUUUGCUUGGAUUAAUGUCAGGCUCAACCGUACAAGCAGUUGCGCUUGCCGUCGUUACUUCAUUAACCAAUUGGCAAAAACAGGUUUCUGUAAUUCAUUUUUACUUUUGUUCUACGUGUUUGUUUCUUUGACAAUAUAUUAAUCAUCCUCUAAUCUGUUGGCUGACACUGAAUUUUUCAUAAUUUCAUGUGGAUAUUUUUCCAGGCAACCAUGGUCAGGGAAAGAAUAUUGGAGGGAGCACCUUCUACUGAAAAUCCAUCGGUUUGAUCCACCUGGGCUAGUAAUUAAUUACCCUGUUUUGUUUUUCAUCGUAACAAAUUACAUUCUCGAGACGAGAGCUGUAAAAUUUAACAGUGCUGGCAUUCUGACAAGCACCGGGUGACAAUUAUCGAACAGUUGGUAAGCAGAAGCAAAUAAACCCAACAAUAAGCACUAAUUUUUUAUAACAGCUAGUCAGCUACCACAAACAAUUUUUUUUUUCUUUAUAAUGAACUUCAGAAGAGAGAGAGAGGGGGGUAAAAAGCUAUAAUAAUAAUUAAAAAAAAAAAACUUAGAAAUAACUCCUAAUAAUAAUAAUAAUCAGGUGGAUCAUAGUACGCCACUACGCCUUAUAAUUCGUAAUAAAAGUAUACUGCUGAAACAUAAAUUUAAAAAAAAAAAAAAAAACACUCGAUGAGAUAACAAUACAAAGAAACAGCUAAACCAAUUAUUUAGAAAACCAUAUUUGCAUACCACAAACUAAUUUAAAGAUAACGUACGAUAUAACAGCAGUAGCAGAAAUAAGGUUGAUACAAUAAUUAAUGAAGCUCUACGCUACACCAAUUAGUGGUACCAUACCAUGCAUGAUCCAUCACACAGAGGAAAAAGAAAAAAAAAAAAGAUUUUAUUUAGCUUACUAUAUAUAUACGUAUUGCCAGCAGCCUGCAUGCUAGUACGGGGGAGGGGGAGGAUGAGGAGGGCGGUUCCAAGGCGGCGUUGGCCUGUAGGGAUCAUAGUUAUAAGGAGGUGCGGGACCGGGGGGGCCCGGAGGCGCUGCAAAAGGAGGGGGUGGAGAGUGAUGGUGAUGGUACCGAGGAGGUGGUGGAGGAGGCGGAUGGAACAAUUCGGGGCGGGGUGGCGGUGGUGGUGGAGGUGAAGGACCGUAAACGUGAGGUGGCGGCGGUGGGUGAGGAGCAUAUGGAUCUGCUGCCGCUGGUGGUGGUGGUGGUGGUGGAGGACCUGGACCUGGACGGUGGUGUCUAUGAAAUGCCAUGUUUUUGAAAGUUAGGUGAUCAAUACAAAGUGCUGUGCUGUUGUUUUUGUUUUAAGGGAUUUGGAGUUGUUUGUAUGUAUUUCCUUUGACGGUUCGUCGGAUGACGUGCCCAUGUUUGUGCCUCGGCUUCCUCAGCCAAUCAGAUUUUUAUUUUUGUCAAAAUUCGUUUCGUCUCCUCAUAUACUCCGUUUCAAGAGUGCAUCAUAUUU
Molecule: long non-coding RNA, 38991 nt
Filed under: Citrus x clementina
Lineage: Eukaryota; Viridiplantae; Streptophyta; Magnoliopsida; Sapindales; Rutaceae
Description: Citrus clementina (C. clementina) long non-coding RNA (CCLE_LNC002091)
Source: RNAcentral